This is a regulatory RNA element of Clostridium puniceum, 127 nucleotides long. It matches the Rfam family "Ribosomal protein L10 leader". Rfam says of the family: This family is a putative r-protein leader autoregulatory structure found in B. subtilis and other low-GC Gram-positive bacteria. The record is from Rfam. Lineage: Bacteria; Bacillati; Bacillota; Clostridia; Eubacteriales; Clostridiaceae.
AAAAAGAAAAUAUUUUUUCCGUAGACAGUAGGUGCGAAAGCGUAAAAUAUAUUACCUACCUAGGUUAUGUAUAAUAGAUGAUAUUAUAGACCUUCCUUGUCUGCGGAAGGUCUUUUUUAGUAAAAGA